GUCUAUGGCUAUGCUACCCUGAACAAGCCCAAUCCCAUCUGACCUUGGAAGCUAAGCAGGGUCAGGCCUGGUUAGUACUUGGAUGGGAGACCACCUAGGAAGACCAGGUGCUGUAGGCA
This 119-nucleotide ribosomal RNA is filed under the name Pteropus alecto (black flying fox). Lineage: Eukaryota; Metazoa; Chordata; Mammalia; Chiroptera; Pteropodidae. The record is from RNAcentral.